AAGGAAUGUUUUCUGUUUGAGUUCUGAGUAUUGAAUCCAAUGGAAGCGUCGCCCUCUCCCCAGCCUUGAGCUGUGGGAGAGGCUUCUAAAACCAUCUCAGAAAAUCAAACUGGACAUGGAUCCAAACAGUCAUAUGCAUCGGUUUUUGCUGGACAGCAAACUGCCGAGACAAAAUCAAAGCUAGAGCUCUGUCCAGUUUCGUUCAAGCAAGGAUUGCCGAUAGUUGAGUUCACAG
This 235-nucleotide long non-coding RNA is filed under the name Nicotiana benthamiana. RNAcentral describes it as "long non-coding RNA (NBEN_LNC004637)". Lineage: Eukaryota; Viridiplantae; Streptophyta; Magnoliopsida; Solanales; Solanaceae. The record is from RNAcentral.